Molecule: ribosomal RNA, 520 nt
Filed under: uncultured Glomus
Lineage: Eukaryota; Fungi; Glomeromycota; Glomeromycetes; Glomerales; Glomeraceae
Description: SSU rRNA
Rfam family: Eukaryotic small subunit ribosomal RNA
Source: RNAcentral
AGCAGCCGCGGUAAUUCCAGCUCCAAUAGCGUAUAUUAAAGUUGGUGCAGUUAAAAAGCUCGUAGUUGAAUUUCGGGAUCAGUUGAUCGGUCGUGCCUCGGUACGUACUGGUCAAAUUGAUUCCUACCUUCUGACGAACCACGAUGUCAUUAAUUUGGUGUCGUGGGAAAUCAGGACUGUUACUUUGAAAAAAUUAGAGUGUUUAAAGCAGGCUCGUGCUUGAAUACAUUAGCAUGGAAUAAUGAAAUAGGACGUUUGAUUCUAUUUUGUUGGUUUCUAGGAUCGACGUAAUGAUUAAUAGGGAUAGUUGGGGGCAUUAGUAUUCAAUUGUCAGAGGUGAAAUUCUUGGAUUUAUUGAAGACUAACUACUGCGAAAGCAUUUGCCAAGGAUGUUUUCAUUAAUCAAGAACGAAAGUUAGGGGAUCGAAGACGAUCAGAUACCGUCGUAGUCUUAACCAUAAACUAUGCCGACUGGGGAUCGGAUGAUGUUAAUUUUUAAUGACUCAUUCGGCGCCUUAAC